Jatropha curcas is the source of this 232-nucleotide non-coding RNA. The record is from RefSeq and is a predicted model, not a curated record. NCBI's taxonomy places the organism in Eukaryota, Viridiplantae, Streptophyta, Magnoliopsida, Malpighiales, Euphorbiaceae.
AAAGUACGAACCUGGAUUCAAAUUCUCUGAUCUGAACAAGUUCUUUCCCUAAGAAAUCCAUCCAUUGUACUCUUUUCUUCUGAACUUCUUUUGAACCCAAAGAAGAUUUUUUAAGACCACCUUUGUUGCAAUUUUGAGGCUGCAAUUCCUCUCCAUCUACAUUUACACUCUCUUCUUUCACUCCAAUGGAGUCAUUAGACACAUUAUCAUAAGAAGAAGCAGUACCAACUGA